This 2037-nucleotide ribosomal RNA is filed under the name Shigella sonnei. RNAcentral's name for it is "partial 23S ribosomal RNA". It matches the Rfam family "Bacterial large subunit ribosomal RNA", at positions 101 to 2164 of the family's 2925-position model. The record is from RNAcentral. Lineage: Bacteria; Pseudomonadati; Pseudomonadota; Gammaproteobacteria; Enterobacterales; Enterobacteriaceae.
UAACCGGCGAUUUCCGAAUGGGGAAACCCAGUGUGAUUCGUCACACUAUCAUUAACUGAAUCCAUAGGUUAAUGAGGCGAACCGGGGGAACUGAAACAUCUAAGUACCCCGAGGAAAAGAAAUCAACCGAGAUUCCCCCAGUAGCGGCGAGCGAACGGGGAGCAGCCCAGAGCCUGAAUCAGUGUGUGUGUUAGUGGAAGCGUCUGGAAAGGCGCGCGAUACAGGGUGACAGCCCCGUACACAAAAAUGCACAUAUUGUGAGCUCGAUGAGUAGGGCGGGACACGUGGUAUCCUGUCUGAAUAUGGGGGGCCCAUCCUCCAAGGCUAAAUACUCCUGACUGACCGAUAGUGAACCAGUACCGUGAGGGAAAGGCGAAAAGAACCCCGGCGAGGGGAGUGAAAAAGAACCUGAAACCGUGUACGUACAAGCAGUGGGAGCACGCUUAGGCGUGUGACUGCGUACCUUUUGUAUAAUGGGUCAGCGACUUAUAUUCUGUAGCAAGGUUAACCGAAUAGGGGAGCCGAAGGGAAACCGAGUCUUAACUGGGCGUUAAGUUGCAGGGUAUAGACCCGAAACCCGGUGAUCUAGCCAUGGGCAGGUUGAAGGUUGGGUAACACUAACUGGAGGACCGAACCGACUAAUGUUGAAAAAUUAGCGGAUGACUUGUGGCUGGGGGUGAAAGGCCAAUCAAACCGGGAGAUAGCUGGUUCUCCCCGAAAGCUAUUUAGGUAGCGCCUCGUGAAUUCAUCUCCGGGGGUAGAGCACUGUUUCGGCAAGGGGGUCAUCCCGACUUACCAACCCGAUGCAAACUGCGAAUACCGGAGAAUGUUAUCACGGGAGACACACGGCGGGUGCUAACGUCCGUCGUGAAGAGGGAAACAACCCAGACCGCCAGCUAAGGUCCCAAAGUCAUGGUUAAGUGGGAAACGAUGUGGGAAGGCCCAGACAGCCAGGAUGUUGGCUUAGAAGCAGCCAUCAUUUAAAGAAAGCGUAAUAGCUCACUGGUCGAGUCGGCCUGCGCGGAAGAUGUAACGGGGCUAAACCAUGCACCGAAGCUGCGGCAGCGACGCUUAUGCGUUGUUGGGUAGGGGAGCGUUCUGUAAGCCUGCGAAGGUGUGCUGUGAGGCAUGCUGGAGGUAUCAGAAGUGCGAAUGCUGACAUAAGUAACGAUAAAGCGGGUGAAAAGCCCGCUCGCCGGAAGACCAAGGGUUCCUGUCCAACGUUAAUCGGGGCAGGGUGAGUCGACCCCUAAGGCGAGGCCGAAAGGCGUAGUCGAUGGGAAACAGGUUAAUAUUCCUGUACUUGGUGUUACUGCGAAGGGGGGACGGAGAAGGCUAUGUUGGCCGGGCGACGGUUGUCCCGGUUUAAGCGUGUAGGCUGGUUUUCCAGGCAAAUCCGGAAAAUCAAGGCUGAGGCGUGAUGACGAGGCACUACGGUGCUGAAGCAACAAAUGCCCUGCUUCCAGGAAAAGCCUCUAAGCAUCAGGUAACAUCAAAUCGUACCCCAAACCGACACAGGUGGUCAGGUAGAGAAUACCAAGGCGCUUGAGAGAACUCGGGUGAAGGAACUAGGCAAAAUGGUGCCGUAACUUCGGGAGAAGGCACGCUGAUAUGUAGGUGAAGUCCCUUGCGGAUGGAGCUGAAAUCAGUCGAAGAUACCAGCUGGCUGCAACUGUUUAUUAAAAACACAGCACUGUGCAAACACGAAAGUGGACGUAUACGGUGUGACGCCUGCCCGGUGCCGGAAGGUUAAUUGAUGGGGUCAGCGCAAGCGAAGCUCUUGAUCGAAGCCCCGGUAAACGGCGGCCGUAACUAUAACGGUCCUAAGGUAGCGAAAUUCCUUGUCGGGUAAGUUCCGACCUGCACGAAUGGCGUAAUGAUGGCCAGGCUGUCUCCACCCGAGACUCAGUGAAAUUGAACUCGCUGUGAAGAUGCAGUGUACCCGCGGCAAGACGGAAAGACCCCGUGAACCUUUACUAUAGCUUGACACUGAACAUUGAGCCUUGAUGUGUAGGAUAGGUGGGAGGCUUUGAAGUG